This 485-nucleotide ribosomal RNA is filed under the name uncultured bacterium. Its description in RNAcentral is "partial 16S ribosomal RNA". It matches the Rfam family "Bacterial small subunit ribosomal RNA", at positions 30 to 506 of the family's 1533-position model. The record is from RNAcentral.
AUUGAACGCUGGCGGAAUGCUUUACACAUGCAAGUCGAACGGCAGCACGGGAGCUUGCUCCUGGUGGCGAGUGGCGAACGGGUGAGUAACAUAUCGGAACGUACCCAGUCGUGGGGGAUAACUAUCCGAAAGGAUAGCUAAUACCGCAUACGUCCUGAGGGAGAAAGCGGGGGAUCGCAAGACCUCGCGCGAUUGGAGCGGCCGAUAUCGGAUUAGCUAGUUGGUGGGGUAAAGGCUCACCAAGGCGACGAUCCGUAGCGGGUCUGAGAGGACGACCCGCCACACUGGAACUGAGACACGGUCCAGACUCCUACGGGAGGCAGCAGUGGGGAAUUUUGGACAAUGGGGGCAACCCUGAUCCAGCCAUUCCGCGUGAGUGAAGAAGGCCUUCGGGUUGUAAAGCUCUUUCAGCAGGAACGAAACGGUCGGCUUUAAUAAAGUCGGCUAAUGACGGUACCUGCAGAAGAAGCACCGGCUAACUACGU